This 465-nucleotide ribosomal RNA is filed under the name uncultured bacterium. Its description in RNAcentral is "partial 16S ribosomal RNA". It matches the Rfam family "Bacterial small subunit ribosomal RNA", at positions 28 to 507 of the family's 1533-position model. The record is from RNAcentral.
GACGAACGCUGGCGGCGUGCUUAACACAUGCGAGUCGUACGGUAAGGCCCUUUCGGGGGUACACGAGUGGCGAACGGGUGAGUAACACGUGAGUAACCUGCCCACAACUUUGGGAUAACGCUAGGAAACUGGUGCUAAUACUGGAUAUGUGCCCCUGCUGCAUGGUGGGGGUUGGAAAGCUCCGGCGGUUGUGGAUGGACUCGCGGCCUAUCAGCUUGUUGGUGGGGUAGUGGCCUACCAAGGCGGCGACGGGUAGCCGGCCUGAGAGGGUGACCGGCCACAUUGAGACUGAGAUACGGCCCAGACACCUACGGGAGGCAGCAGUGGGGAAUAUUGCACAAUGGGCGCAAGCCUGAUGCAGCAACGCCGCGUGCGGGAUGACGGUCUUCGGGUUGUAAACCGCUUUCAGCAGGGACGAAGCUUUUUGUGACGGUACCUGCAGAAGAAGCACCGGCUAACUACGUG